This 253-nucleotide ribosomal RNA is filed under the name uncultured bacterium. RNAcentral's name for it is "partial 16S ribosomal RNA". It matches the Rfam family "Bacterial small subunit ribosomal RNA", at positions 524 to 776 of the family's 1533-position model. The record is from RNAcentral.
UACAGAGGUCUCAAGCGUUGUUCGGAUUCAUUGGGCGUAAAGGGUGCGUAGGCGGCGCGGUAAGUCGGGUGUGAAAUCUCGGGGCUUAACUCCGAAACUGCAUUCGAUACUGCCGUGCUUGAGGACUGGAGAGGAGACUGGAAUUUACGGUGUAGCGGUGAAAUGCGUAGAUAUCGUAAGGAAGACCAGUGGCGAAGGCGGGUCUCUGGACAGUUCCUGACGCUGAGGCACGAAGGUCAGGGGGGCAAACGGG